UACGUAGGGGUGCAAGCGUUGUCCGGAAUCAUUGGGCGUAAAGCGCGCGUAGGUGGUCAUGUAAGUCCGGCUGUGAAAAGCUCGAAAGGCUCAACCUUUGAAAGCCGGUGGAUACUAGCAUGACUGAGAGUACGGAAGAGGCGAGUGGAAUUCCUGGUGUAGCGGUGAAAUGCGUAGAUAGUCGGGAGGAACACCUGUGGCGAAAGCG
This 208-nucleotide ribosomal RNA is filed under the name uncultured bacterium. RNAcentral describes it as "partial 16S ribosomal RNA". It matches the Rfam family "Bacterial small subunit ribosomal RNA", at positions 524 to 723 of the family's 1533-position model. The record is from RNAcentral.